RNAcentral lists this ribosomal RNA (826 nucleotides) under Dactylaria sp. RNAcentral's name for it is "partial large subunit ribosomal RNA". It matches the Rfam family "Eukaryotic large subunit ribosomal RNA", at positions 98 to 957 of the family's 3401-position model. Lineage: Eukaryota; Fungi; Ascomycota; Leotiomycetes; Helotiales. The record is from RNAcentral.
GCGGCAACAGCUCAAAUUUGAAAUCUGGCCUUUGGCCCGAGUUGUAAUUUGUAGAGGAUGCUUUUGGUGCGGUGCCUUCCGAGUUCCCUGGAACGGGACGCCUUAGAGGGUGAGAGCCCCGUACGGUUGGACGCCUAGCCUCUGUAAAGCUCCUUCGACGAGUCGAGUAGUUUGGGAAUGCUGCUCAAAAUGGGAGGUAAAUUUCUUCUAAAGCUAAAUACCGGCCAGAGACCGAUAGCGCACAAGUAGAGUGAUCGAAAGAUGAAAAGCACUUUGAAAAGAGGGUUAAAUAGCACGUGAAAUUGUUGAAAGGGAAGCGUUUAUGACCAGACUUUUUCCUAGUGGAUCAUCCGGUGUUCUCACCGGUGCACUUCGCUAGGAUGAGGCCAGCAUCGGUUUCCGUAGGGGGAUAAAAGCUUUAGGAAUGUGGCUCUUCGGAGUGUUAUAGCCUAUUGUAUAAUACCCUUGUGGGGACCGAGGUACGCGCUCUGCAAGGAUGCUGGCGUAAUGGUCAUCAACGACCCGUCUUGAAACACGGACCAAGGAGUCGAACAUUUGUGCGAGUGUUUGGGUGUUAAACCCUCACGCGUAAUGAAAGUGAACGGAGGUGAGAGCCAUUUGGUGCAUCAUCGACCGAUCCUGAUGUCUUCGGAUGGAUUUGAGUAAGAGCAUAACUGUUCGGACCCGAAAGAUGGUGAACUAUGCGUGGAUAGGGUGAAGCCAGAGGAAACUCUGGUGGAGGCUCGCAGCGGUUCUGACGUGCAAAUCGAUCGUCAAAUCUGCGCAUGGGGGCGAAAGACUAAUCGAACCAUCUAGUAGCUGGUAC